CAGGAUGAACGCUGGCGGCGUGCUAACACAUGCAAGUCGAACGAGCGGACGGCCUUCGGGCCUGAAGCGAGUGGCGGACGGGUGAGUAACGCGUGGGUAACCUGCCUUACACAGGGGGAUAACAGUUAGAAAUGACUGCUAAUACCGCAUAAGCGCACAGUACCGCAUGGUACAGUGUGAAAAGUUCCGGCGGUGUAAGAUGGACCCGCGUUAGAUUAGCCAGUUGGCGGGGUAACGGCCCACCAAAGCGACGAUCUAUAGCCGGCCUGAGAGGGCGACCGGCCACAUUGGGACUGAGACACGGCCCAGACUCCUACGGGAGGCAGCAGUGGGGAAUAUUGCACAAUGGGGGAAACCCUGAUGCAGCCGACGCCGCGUGAGUGAUGAAGUAUUUCGGUAUGUAAAGCUCUAUCAGCAGGGAAGAAAAUGACGGUACCUGACUAAGAAGCCCCGGCUAACUACGUGCCAGCAGCCGC
This 476-nucleotide ribosomal RNA is filed under the name uncultured bacterium. Its description in RNAcentral is "bacterial SSU rRNA". It matches the Rfam family "Bacterial small subunit ribosomal RNA", at positions 25 to 518 of the family's 1533-position model. The record is from RNAcentral.